This 243-nucleotide ribosomal RNA is filed under the name uncultured bacterium. Its description in RNAcentral is "partial 16S ribosomal RNA". It matches the Rfam family "Bacterial small subunit ribosomal RNA", at positions 57 to 305 of the family's 1533-position model. The record is from RNAcentral.
GCAAGUCGAGCGAGAAAGGUCAUUGGACUGAGUAUAGCGGCGGACGGGUGAGUAACGCGUAGGAAUCUAACUGGUAGUGGGGGAAAACUUGGGGAAACCCAAGCUAAUACCGCAUACGCCCUACGGGGGAAAGCGGGGGAUCUUCGGACCUCGCGCUAUCGGAUGAGCCUGCGUUGGAUUAGCUAGUUGGUGGGGUAAAGGCUCACCAAGGCGACGAUCCAUAGCUGGUCUGAGAGGAUGAUC